This 497-nucleotide ribosomal RNA is filed under the name uncultured bacterium. RNAcentral's name for it is "partial 16S ribosomal RNA". It matches the Rfam family "Bacterial small subunit ribosomal RNA", at positions 28 to 507 of the family's 1533-position model. The record is from RNAcentral.
GAUGAACGCUGGCGGCGUGCCUAAUACAUGCAAGUCGAGCGAACAGAUGAGGAGCUUGCUCCUCUGACGUUAGCGGCGGACGGGUGAGUAACACGUGGAUAACCUACCUAUAAGACUGGGAUAACUUCGGGAAACCGGAGCUAAUACCGGAUAAUAUAUUGAACCGCAUGGUUCAAUAGUGAAAGACGGUUUUGCUGUCACUUAUAGAUGGAUCCGCGCCGCAUUAGCUAGUUGGUAAGGUAACGGCUUACCAAGGCAACGAUGCGUAGCCGACCUGAGAGGGUGAUCGGCCACACUGGAACUGAGACACGGUCCAGACUCCUACGGGAGGCACCAGUAGCGAAUCUUCCGCAAUGGUCGAAAGCCUGACGGAGCAGCGCCGCGUGAGUGAUGGAGGUCUUCGGAUCGUAAAACUCUGUUAUGAGUGAAGAACAAAUGUGUAAGUAACUAUGCACGUCUUGACGGUACCUAAUCAGAAAGCCACGGCUAACUACGUG